This is a long non-coding RNA of Rosa rugosa (rugosa rose), 1272 nucleotides long. RefSeq lists it as uncharacterized. The transcript has 3 exons. The record is from RefSeq and is a predicted model, not a curated record. NCBI's taxonomy places the organism in Eukaryota, Viridiplantae, Streptophyta, Magnoliopsida, Rosales, Rosaceae.
GCCAAAAUGCUCGAAUUUCAUCAUAAUUUACGGGCAUUGCCACUGACCCAAUAUUCAAUACCCAAAUCUCCACGCGCUCGGGAUCGUCUACUUUGACCUCUGCUUCAAAUUCGACGUCGUUCCGACCUUCGAGCGCCGCCCGGCCGGAAAUCAAGGAGAUCCGCCAACUGCUUCGGAUCGAGCGAGCGAGAACAGAAAGAGGUGGAGACCGAUCUCCACCGCUCUUGGGUUCGCGUAAGUAGUAGUACUAGUACUAGUGGUUUCGUUUUUGUUUUCGUUUUCUCUGUGUAUUGGAAUUCGGAUACUGGAAGAUUCGAUUUGCUGUGCUUGAUGUGCAGAGGCUGUAGCUUUAUGGAGGCGAUUGAUGCAGUUGACAAUGGGAUCAAUCAGUAUGACACAGACCAGCCUCCAAGAUAUGUGAAUAAUACACACUUAUCUUCAAGGGUGGGGAGGUUGAAUUUGGACUGGAUAGAUCCUGAUCAAUCAUUUGAGAAGGAGAAUGAAGCCUUUCAAGAGCAAUGGCUCUAGCUGGCAGUGAAUUUUAAGAUUAGCAGAACUGGACGAGUAUGAGUGCAGUAGCAGAAUUGGAUGAGUGCAGUAGCAGGAUUAGGCGAUGACGAGUGCAACAGUAGAACACGAGUACAACUGCAGUAGCAGAACUGGACUGAGUAUGAGUGCAGCGAGUGCAGUAGCAGAAUUGAACGAGUGCAGUAGCAGGAUUAGGCGAUGAUGAGUGCAGUAACAGAACACGAGUACAAGUGCAGUAGUAGAACUGGACGAGUACGAGUGCAGUAGCAUGAUUGGACGAGUACAGUAGCAGGAUUAGGCGAUGACGAGUGCAAUAGCUGUAGAUACCUUUCACUAGCAUGACUAAUUUACUAUCUCACCAAGCAUAAGUAACACCCUCUUUGAGGGACCCACAAGCCAUGGUGGGACCCAACCGCGACAUGUAUCCCGUAGCCCGAUGUCCAAGCUACGUCGUGAUAGUCGGAAGCGGCAAAUACCUCGCCGAGAAGCCACCUUUCCAGCAUUGCCAAGUUGCCUCCAUAAUGAGCCUUUAUGCACUAGAAUAGGACUUUAGCAUCCCAAAUUGGAAAACUUGUAAAGGAGAGUGGCUCCCUUCCUUAUAAAAGGAAUCACUCCUCCCACUUAGAAUCCAUCCCAUUACAACACCUCUUGUAAUCAUGUUGGGUCGCAAUGCCCAAACAUAUAGUAAAUCUUUCAAGUGGACGUAGUCUCCCGCCUUAGCGGGAGACGAACCACUAUACAUAA